CCUUCGAUAGCUCAGUUUGGUAGAGCGGGGGACUGUAGAUUUAUAAUUGUGAUCCCUAGGUUGCUGGUUCGAAUCCGGCUCGAAGGA
This is a non-coding RNA of Nematostella vectensis (starlet sea anemone), 87 nucleotides long. The record is from Rfam. Lineage: Eukaryota; Metazoa; Cnidaria; Anthozoa; Actiniaria; Edwardsiidae.